RNAcentral lists this ribosomal RNA (258 nucleotides) under uncultured bacterium. RNAcentral's name for it is "partial 16S ribosomal RNA". It matches the Rfam family "Bacterial small subunit ribosomal RNA", at positions 98 to 353 of the family's 1533-position model. The record is from RNAcentral.
CGGGACGGGUGAGUAACGCGUGGGUAACCUGCCCUGUACAGGGGGAGUAACAGUCAGAAAUGACUGCUAAUACCGCAUAAGACCACAGCACCGCAUGGUGCAGGGGUAAAAACUCCGGUGGUGCAGGAUGGACCCGCGUCUGAUUAGCUGGUUGGUGAGGUAACGGCUCACCAAGGCGACGAUCAGUAGCCGGCUUGAGAGAGUGAACGGCCACAUUGGGACUGAGACACGGCCCAAACUCCUACGGGAGGCAGCAUG